GAUGAAGAACGCAUCGAAAUGCGAUACUUGGUGUGAAUUGCAGAAUCCCGUGAACCAUCGAGUCUUUGAACGCAAGUUGCGCCCGAAGCCAUUAGGCCGAGGGCACGCCUGCCUGGGCGUCACACGUCGUUGCCCCCCCAUCUACUCCUUCGGGAUUGCGGGGGGCGGAUGAUGGCCUCUCGUGCGCCUCGUCGCGCGGUUGGCCUAAAUGCCAAGUCCUCGGCGACGCACGCCACGACAAUCGGUGGUUGCGAAACCUCGGUUGCCUGUCGUGUGCGGUCGUCGCGCAUCGAGGGCUCGAAAAAAUUGCCGGGCUUCGGCUCGACUUUCAACGCGACCCCAGGUCAGGCGGGGUUACCCGCUGAAUUUAAGCAUAUCAAUAAGCGGAGGA
RNAcentral lists this unclassified non-coding RNA (391 nucleotides) under soil metagenome. Its description in RNAcentral is "partial contains 5.8S ribosomal RNA, internal transcribed spacer 2, and large subunit ribosomal RNA". The stretch from base 1 to 122 matches the Rfam family "5.8S ribosomal RNA", at positions 35 to 154 of the family's 154-position model. The record is from RNAcentral.